Molecule: ribosomal RNA, 401 nt
Filed under: Bruchidius sp. KE03
Lineage: Eukaryota; Metazoa; Arthropoda; Insecta; Coleoptera; Chrysomelidae
Description: partial 12S small subunit ribosomal RNA
Source: RNAcentral
UAAACUAGGAUUAGAUACCCUAUUAUUUUAAAUGUAAAAAUUUAUAAAUACUAAAUUAGUAUUAGUUAUGUUCUUGAAAAUUAAAAAAUUUGGCGGUAUUUUAGUCUUUUCAGAGGAAUCUGUCCUGUAAUUGAUAGUCCACGAUUAAAUAUACUUUAUUUAUUAGUUUAUAUAUCGUCGUAGUUUGAAUAUUUUAAAAGAAGUUUAAUAUUCAAAAUUUUAAAUUAAAAAAUAAAUCAGAUCAAGGUGUAGUUUAUAAUAAAGAAGAGAUGGAUUACAAUAAAUUUAUUUUAGGAUAAUUUAUUAAAAAUAAAUUUGAAUUUGGAUUUGAAAGUAAUUUUAAAUAUUUCUUUGUUAUGAUUAUAGCUCUAAAAUAUGUACACAUCGCCCGUCGCUCUUAA